CCUACGGGAGGCAGCAGUGGGGAAUAUUGCACAAUGGGGGAAACCCUGAUGCAGCGACGCCGCGUGAGUGAAGAAGUAUUUCGGUAUGUAAAGCUCUAUCAGCAGGGAAGAUAAUGACGGUACCUGAGUAAGAAGCCCCGGCUAACUACGUGCCAGCAGCCGCGGUAAUACGUAGGGGGCAAGCGUUAUCCGGAUUUACUGGGUGUAAGGGGAGCGUAGACGGCAUGGCAAGUCUGAAGUGAAAGCCCGGGGCUCAACCGCGGGACUGCUUUGGAAACUGUUAAGCUUGAGUGCAGGAGAGGUAAGUGGAAUUCCUAGUGUAGCGGUGAAAUGCGUAGAUAUUAGGAGGAACACCAGUGGCGAAGGCGGCUUACUGGACUGUAACUGACGUUGAGGCUCGAAAGCGUGGGGAGCAAACAGGAUUAGAUACCCCAGUAGUC
This 440-nucleotide ribosomal RNA is filed under the name uncultured bacterium. Its description in RNAcentral is "partial 16S ribosomal RNA". It matches the Rfam family "Bacterial small subunit ribosomal RNA", at positions 338 to 795 of the family's 1533-position model. The record is from RNAcentral.